RNAcentral lists this ribosomal RNA (441 nucleotides) under Psychrobacter faecalis. Its description in RNAcentral is "bacterial SSU rRNA". It matches the Rfam family "Bacterial small subunit ribosomal RNA", at positions 88 to 527 of the family's 1533-position model. The record is from RNAcentral. Lineage: Bacteria; Pseudomonadati; Pseudomonadota; Gammaproteobacteria; Moraxellales; Moraxellaceae.
CUGACGAGCGGCGGACGGGUGAGUAAUACUUAGGAAUCUACCUAGUAGUGGGGGAUAGCUCGGGGAAACUCGAAUUAAUACCGCAUACGACCUACGGGAGAAAGGGGGCAACUUGUUGCUCUCGCUAUUAGAUGAGCCUAAGUCGGAUUAGCUAGAUGGUGGGGUAAAGGCCUACCAUGGCGACGAUCUGUAGCUGGUCUGAGAGGAUGAUCAGCCACACCGGGACUGAGACACGGCCCGGACUCCUACGGGAGGCAGCAGUGGGGAAUAUUGGACAAUGGGGGCAACCCUGAUCCAGCCAUGCCGCGUGUGUGAAGAAGGCCUUUUGGUUGUAAAGCACUUUAAGCAGUGAAGAAGACUCCAUGGUUAAUACCCAUGGACGAUGACAUUAGCUGCAGAAUAAGCACCGGCUAACUCUGUGCCAGCAGCCGCGGUAAUACA